AGUCGAGCGGAAGGCCCUUCGGGGUACUCGAGCGGCGAACGGGUGAGUAACACGUGAGCAACCUGCCCUAGGCUUUGGGAUAACCCUCGGAAACGGGGGCUAAUACCGAAUAUGACCUCCGAUCGCAUGGUUGGUGGUGGAAAGUUUUUCGGCCUGGGAUGGGCUCGCGGCCUAUCAGCUUGUUGGUGGGGUGAUGGCCUACCAAGGCGACGACGGGUAGCCGGCCUGAGAGGGCGACCGGCCACACUGGGACUGAGACACGGCCCAGACUCCUACGGGAGGCAGCAGUGGGGAAUAUUGCACAAUGGGCGGAAGCCUGAUGCAGCGACGCCGCGUGAGGGAUGACGGCCUUCGGGUUGUAAACCUCUUUCAGCAGGGACGAAGCGUAAGUGACGGUACCUGCAGAAGAAGCGCCGGCCAACUACGUGCCAGCAGCCGCGGUAAGACGUAGGGCGCGAGCGUUGUCCGGAUUUAUUGGGCGUAAAGAGCUCGUAGGCGGGGGUGUGGGGGUGGACCGUGAAAAACUUGGGGCUCAACCCCAAGCCUGCGGUCGAUACGGGCAGGCUAGAGUUCGGUAGGGAGACUGGAAUUCCUGGGUGUAGCGGUGAAAUGCGCAGAUAUCAGGAGGAACACCGGUGGGCGAAGGCG
This 648-nucleotide ribosomal RNA is filed under the name Micromonospora sp. SBSK-356. RNAcentral's name for it is "bacterial SSU rRNA". It matches the Rfam family "Bacterial small subunit ribosomal RNA", at positions 60 to 723 of the family's 1533-position model. The record is from RNAcentral. Lineage: Bacteria; Bacillati; Actinomycetota; Actinomycetes; Micromonosporales; Micromonosporaceae.